Molecule: long non-coding RNA, 2127 nt
Organism: Physella acuta
Lineage: Eukaryota; Metazoa; Mollusca; Gastropoda; Physidae
Source: RefSeq, a predicted model, not a curated record
ACAAUCUAGAUCUAAUAUGGAAUGUAGCAAAAUGUAUCUAUAUCCACUUAUUUAGUAGGCCUUGUACCCUGAUUAUUAGAUCUAGAGUUUAGAUUUAGUAAUAGAAUCUAGGCUUAAUGUUCAAUAUAUAUUGACCUAAAGUAGUUAUAGAUUUAAUGGCUAGUUUUAGAUUCAAUUUUAUUUAAAAUUUUGAUUAUGUAUAAAAUGUAAACUAUAAUUAUAAGAGAAAAUUCUGAGUAGAAAUAUUGUGUGAACAUCUAUUUUUCAGAUUACCUGAAUUAAAUCAGUGCAUAUAGACCUCUAGAAAGAAGCCUACACAAGUUCCAGGAAAUACAAGAUGAAGAGUAUAAGUUGCCAUUAUGAAGGGAUAAUGUAGUCAGCACUAUGCCCAGCCACUUUUUUUGCUUUCCCCAAUGUCAAGUACCCAUCAGAGCUGAGUGUUCUCAGGUAAAUGGAACUUCAUGAAAAUUGAAGAAAAAUUAAUAACAAGUAAAUGAACAUUGUGUUAUGGGUUGCUGCAAUCACCACUUUAAUGGAAUUUUUCAAGGACAAUUUAAAUGUAGUAAAGAAAUAGGGAUGCCACUACAAAUCUGGUGAUGUCUUUUAUAUCUACACAAAGGAAUCAGUUACUAGCUUGUGCAAGCAUGAAAAAAAACAUGUAUAAUGUAAAUGUAACUUUACAUUUGAACAAAGCUAUGAAAGUAACAUUUCUUCAUGUGAAUGUCCCGGAGGAGCUAACAGGUGUUCACAGACUGCUGUACAGUUUUGCCUUGUUUAUUCACCAAGAAACCCCAUUUACAACUUAUGAAAAUGCUGUUUAGGAUCUGCUUUUGGUUUCUCAACGCCAGAAAGACAAGAUGAAGAGUAUAAGUUGCCAUUAUUUUAAGAUAUUUUAUUUUAGAAUAUACUGAUUUUGAGAUAAUUUUGAUUUUGAUGAAAUUGAUUGUUUAAAAAAAAUCAAUGUUUAAAAUAAAGUCCAAAUAAAUAAAAUAUAUUAGAUAACAUUAGGCCAAUGAAACAAAACCCUCAUAUUUGCCAUAAUUAUUUAUAUCAAACAACAUAAUUAAAAUACUAAUGUAUGUAAAAUUAGUUAAUUGCAUACAAUUUUCUUUACCACAUUGACAAUUUGUAUUUAUGAUGAAAUUAUAAGCUCAUAAUUAUAUCAAAAUAAUAAUAAAAUCACAGUACAUAAGUAUUACAGUAACUUUCAUUGAGCAAUAAUAUUUAACUUAGUGCAUCUGUCAUACAUUAAUCAACUGUUUUUUUUUAAAUUAAUAUAAUUUAUUUCAGCAGAUUCUUGUAUAUUAUCAAAAAUUAUGAAUACAAAAAUAUUCCCAUAUAAAUAAUUGUAUGUAAUGUUCAGAUUAAUACAAUGCAUUAUAUAUGUAGUUCAAAUGUACACCAUGUAUUCAUGUAUGUUUAAUUAUGCAUUUGUUUAAAUUGCCACCAGUGAUACAUACAUGAAGCCUAAUAUAUAUAUAUAUAUAGGCCUAUAUAUAUAUAUAUAUAUAUAUAUAUAUAUAUAUAUAUAUAUAUAUAUAUAUAUAUAUAUAUGUGUGUGUGUGUGUGUGUUUGUACAAAGUUAAAACAUUAUUUUUGUAUUAGAGGAGUUUGUAGAUUAACAAGACAAGCAAUUAAUUGAAACACAAUAUCUAUGUGUGUUCUCAUCUCGUGGGGUAUGCAUGUUAAUAUUUUAAAAACUUUAAUGCGCUGAAUUGCACGCUCUACAUGUAUCCUACAUCUUGCAAUACUUUUUGUACAUUUUAUCUCAUUCUCUGUAAAUUGGGGAUUACUUAAAAAAGGAGGGAUAUUUACAGACACACCUGGGGGAAGUAUAUUUUGAAUCAAAAAUCCUUUAUCGGCUAAAAUUAAAUCUCCUGGUUGAAAAUACCUUAUUACACCUGAUUUGAGAAAAAUUUGUUUAUCUGAUAAUGAUCCAAGAAGCAUAUUUGAAACAAAUGAGAUGUAGCCAUUAGGGCAGAUGCCAAUUAACACCUUAAAUGUGUUUUUAGAUUUAUAAGAGGAAUAUGUUGCUCUUUGCUUAUCCAUCUCUUUUGGGAUUUCAAUUUGUACUUCUGUGCAGUCAACUACCAUUCUACAAUUGGGAUAUUCUGAAAAGCUUGAAGG